CAGAGCAGGUCUUGGGGAGGGCGCCCAGUCUCGGCGCCUGAGCUAAGCAGGAGGAAGUGUGUGCGCGUUGGGCGGGGCUUUGCGGAGUCAAGGCGAGCAGAACAGACCUGGCCCUGCCCGCAAGGAGGUCGCAGACGUGAACCAGCAAUCACAGACACCUCAAGAUGCAGAGAAUAAGGCGUGACCUGUCUGAGGUCACACUCUAGAAAGGAGCAGCAUCAGGACUCAGAUGCAGGUAUUUGUCCAUAAGCACUCAUCUUAGUCACCAGGAAUGUUGGGGAACACAGUUUUACGUGCUGUGAGGAGACCUGAAGAAAUAUGUCACCCUCCCUGCCCUCAGGGAGCUUACAGUCCAUCCAGGAAGAGGAGAAGAGCACAUGUCAAAAAGCUUCAAGGUUCCAGGUCGUAUGUGUUGAAUGAAUGGAGACAUGAAGCAUAAACGUUUCAAGGAAGGUGUGCGUCUGGGCUGGGUGGCUGCUAACUUCAUGACUGGGACAACACUGAAGACUCUUUCCUGAUACUCUUCAAGUGCUUGUUUCUCUAAAACUACCACUCCUUUCUGGUUUAUAGCCCAGGGCCAUCCUGGACAGUCGCCACCAGGCCUGCCAUCACUAUGGGGUGGCCCAAGGCCAUGUCUGCCAGGAACACCACCAUUUGGUAUUUAUCUAUGCAAAAUUUACAUUGACCGCUGAUGAGCAAAACAGUGCGCUCCACAUAUAGAUUGAGGGUGUGGGGCUUUUGCCACUGGAGUUCCCCCUGUGUUGAGUCACGGUGGCAGAAGGCACAGUGACAGAAGUCCCUGGGAGCCGCUGACUGGCGCUUGGAGGACUGAGUGAUUCAGCAGCGAGGCCCCCCUCUGGCCCUCCUGCCCCAGAAAGCUCUGGAUCUGCACGGAAGCAGCACGGUAAAGGGUGGACGAAUUGUGGGUGUGGAUGCUUUCCCACAAGUCUGUGCUCCCCAGUUCAGUUGUCUGGGCUCUUAUUAAAAGGGUUCGUUCUCCUCCUUAGAGUCAGACGGAGGCCCCCUGUGGGCUGCUGCUUGGGAACGGCCGGGGGUGUUCUCUGGCUGGGGCUUCAGAGGAUGCAAGGACAACCCCACAGAGCAGGAACAGCCUGCCAGUUCCAUGCCCGCAGCGGCCCCCAGAGCAGCUGCCCCAGGACACACGGAUGAGAGGGGAGGGUGUCAGAGGGGCUUCGGUAGACUUGUUGCCAUGGAAGAACUGUGGGACCAGUACAGCCAGACAUCCUAACUUUUCCAGAGAAGCCAUAAAUCUGGAUUUUCCUGUGAAGUCUUCUGACAUUUCACCCUUUGCAACCCAUUAAAUUGUUUUAAAAACACCUCCUGCGUCAAAGAAAAUGACUUUGGGCCACCCUCUUAUGCCCUCCAAUUUAGACCCCAAACAGCAAGCAGAGUGUCCACCUCUUUAGUCCAGAUGAUUAGCACCCAGCACCUGUGGUGACGUGCUCCUCAGAGCGCUCCUUCCUCAGGGGGCGAAGCUGGCAAAUGCGACUGGGGCAGGCGCAAGUGCUGGCAUCAGU
This 1538-nucleotide long non-coding RNA is filed under the name Equus caballus (horse). RNAcentral's name for it is "lncRNA (ENSECAG00000055353.1)". The record is from RNAcentral. Lineage: Eukaryota; Metazoa; Chordata; Mammalia; Perissodactyla; Equidae.